GAUGAACGCUGGCGGUAUGCCUAACACAUGCAAGUCGGACGGCAAGUCGUGUUGCGAGUGGUGGACGGGGGAGUAACGCGCAAGAACCUGCGCAAGGGAGGGGAACCACAGCUGGAAAGGGGGGCUAAUACCCCGAAGUUUGAGGAGCAAAAGGUGGAACCUGCCCGAGGAGGCGCUGGCGUCUGAUAAGCUAGGUGGUGAGGCAAGGGCUUACCAAUGCGAGGAGCAGUAGCUGGUCUGAGCGGACGAGCAGCCACGCUGGAACUGAGACACGGCCCAGACUGCGACGGGAGGACGGAGUGGGGAAUUACGGACGACGGGCGCGAGGAUGAUCCCGCAAUGCGGGGUGGGUGAACAAGGCCUUGGCGUGGUAAAGUCGAUUGGCCGGGGGUGGAGAACUGCUGUUCACGGCGAAGAAGUUAUGACGGUAUCUAAAGAAUAAGCACCGGCUAACUCUGUG
This 460-nucleotide ribosomal RNA is filed under the name uncultured bacterium. RNAcentral describes it as "partial 16S ribosomal RNA". It matches the Rfam family "Bacterial small subunit ribosomal RNA", at positions 28 to 507 of the family's 1533-position model. The record is from RNAcentral.